This 2932-nucleotide ribosomal RNA is filed under the name Acinetobacter baumannii. RNAcentral describes it as "23S ribosomal RNA". It matches the Rfam family "Bacterial large subunit ribosomal RNA". The record is from RNAcentral. Lineage: Bacteria; Pseudomonadati; Pseudomonadota; Gammaproteobacteria; Moraxellales; Moraxellaceae.
AGUCAAGUAAUUAAGUGCAUGUGGUGGAUGCCUUGGCAGUCAGAGGCGAUGAAAGACGUGAUAGCCUGCGAAAAGCUCCGGGGAGGCGGCAAAUAUCCUUUGAUCCGGAGAUGUCUGAAUGGGGGAACCCACCUACUUUAAGGUAGGUAUUGCAACAUGAAUACAUAGUGUUGCAAGGCGAACGAGGGGAAGUGAAACAUCUCAGUACCCUUAGGAAAAGAAAUCAAUUGAGAUUCCCUCAGUAGCGGCGAGCGAACGGGGAUCAGCCCAUUAAGUUAUGUGUGUUUUAGUGGAACGCUCUGGGAAGUGCGAACGUAGAGGGUGAUAUUCCCGUACACGAAAGGGCACACAUAAUGAUGACGAGUAGGGCGAGGCACGUGAAACCUUGUCUGAAUAUGGGGGGACCAUCCUCCAAGGCUAAAUACUCCUGACUGACCGAUAGUGAACCAGUACCGUGAGGGAAAGGCGAAAAGAACCCCUGUGAGGGGAGUGAAAUAGAUCCUGAAACCGCAUGCAUACAAGCAGUGGGAGCACCUUCGUGGUGUGACUGCGUACCUUUUGUAUAAUGGGUCAGCGACUUAUAUUCAGUAGCGAGGUUAACCGUAUAGGGGAGCCGUAGAGAAAUCGAGUCUUAAUAGGGCGUUUAGUUGCUGGGUAUAGACCCGAAACCAGGCGAUCUAUCCAUGAGCAGGUUGAAGGUUGGGUAACACUAACUGGAGGACCGAACCCACUGUCGUUGAAAAGCCAGGGGAUGACUUGUGGAUAGGGGUGAAAGGCUAAUCAAGCCUGGUGAUAGCUGGUUCUCCCCGAAAGCUAUUUAGGUAGCGCCUCGGACGAAUACCAUAGGGGGUAGAGCACUGUUUCGGCUAGGGGGUCAUCCCGACUUACCAAACCGAUGCAAACUCCGAAUACCUAUGAGUACUAUCCGGGAGACAGACUGCGGGUGCUAACGUCCGUAGUCAAGAGGAAAACAAUCCAGACCGCCAGCUAAGGCCCCAAAAUCAUAGUUAAGUGGGAAACGAUGUGGGAAGGCAUAGACAGCUAGGAGGUUGGCUUAGAAGCAGCCACCCUUUAAAGAAAGCGUAAUAGCUCACUAGUCGAGUCGGCCUGCGCGGAAGAUGUAACGGGGCUAAAACUAUGUGCCGAAGCUGCGGAUUUNNNNNNNNNNNNNNNNNNNNNNNNNNNNNNNNNNNNNNNNNNNNNNNNNNNNNNNNNNNNNNNNNNNNNNNNNNNNNNNNNNNNNNNNNNNNNNNAGUAUGCUGGAGGUAUCAGAAGUGCGAAUGCUGACGUGAGUAACGACAAAACGGGUGAAAAACCCGUUCGCCGAAAGACCAAGGGUUCCAGUCCAACGUUAAUCGGGGCUGGGUGAGUCGACCCCUAAGGCGAGGCCGAAAGGCGUAGUCGAUGGGAAAAUGGUUAAUAUUCCAUUACUUCUGUGUAAUGCGAUGAGAGGACGGAGAAGGCUAAAUCAGCCUGGCGUUGGUUGUCCAGGUGAAAGGAUGUAGGCAUGUAUCUUAGGCAAAUCCGGGGUACUCUAUGCUGAGAUCUGAUAGCAAGCUGUACUUGUACAGCGAAGUGGUUGAUGCCAUGCUUCCAGGAAAAGUCUCUAAGCUUCAGUUACACAGGAAUCGUACCCGAAACCGACACAGGUGGUCAGGUCGAGUAGACCAAGGCGCUUGAGAGAACUCUGCUGAAGGAACUAGGCAAAAUGGUACCGUAACUUCGGGAGAAGGUACGCUGUUGUUGGUGAUGGAACUCGCUUCCUGAGCUGACGACAGCCGCAGAAACCAGGCCGCUGCAACUGUUUAUUAAAAACAUAGCACUCUGCAAACACGAAAGUGGACGUAUAGGGUGUGAUGCCUGCCCGGUGCUGGAAGGUUAAUUGAUGGGGUUAGCGUAAGCGAAGCUCUUGAUCGAAGCCCCAGUAAACGGCGGCCGUAACUAUAACGGUCCUAAGGUAGCGAAAUUCCUUGUCGGGUAAGUUCCGACCUGCACGAAUGGCAUAAUGAUGGCGGCGCUGUCUCCAGCAGAGGCUCAGUGAAAUCGAAAUCGCUGUGAAGAUGCAGUGUACCCGCGGCUAGACGGAAAGACCCCGUGAACCUUUACUGCAGCUUGACACUGAACUUUGACCUUACUUGUGUAGGAUAGGUGGGAGGCUUUGAAGCUGGAACGCUAGUUCCAGUGGAGCCGUCCUUGAAAUACCACCCUGGUAAUGUUGAGGUUCUAACUCUGUCCCGUGAUCCGGGACGAGGACCGUGUCUGGUGGGUAGUUUGACUGGGGCGGUCUCCUCCUAAAGAGUAACGGAGGAGUACGAAGGUGCGCUCAGCGUGGUCGGAAAUCACGCGUAGAGUAUAAAGGCAAAAGCGCGCUUAACUGCGAGACCCACAAGUCGAGCAGGUACGAAAGUAGGUCUUAGUGAUCCGGUGGUUCUGUAUGGAAGGGCCAUCGCUCAACGGAUAAAAGGUACUCUGGGGAUAACAGGCUGAUACCGCCCAAGAGUUCAUAUCGACGGCGGUGUUUGGCACCUCGAUGUCGGCUCAUCUCAUCCUGGGGCUGAAGCAGGUCCCAAGGGUAUGGCUGUUCGCCAUUUAAAGAGGUACGCGAGCUGGGUUUAGAACGUCGUGAGACAGUUCGGUCCCUAUCUACCGUGGGCGCUGGAAAUUUGAGAGGAUCUGCUCCUAGUACGAGAGGACCAGAGUGGACGAACCUCUGGUGUACCGGUUGUGACGCCAGUCGCAUCGCCGGGUAGCUAUGUUCGGAAGGGAUAACCGCUGAAAGCAUCUAAGCGGGAAGCCUACCUCAAGAUAAGAUUUCCCUAGGACUUUAUGUCCUCUAAAGAGCCGUUCGAGACUAGGACGUUGAUAGGUUGGAUGUGGAAGCAUAGUGAUAUGUGAAGCUGACCAAUACUAAUUGCUCGUGAGGCUUGACUAU